GAAAUGCGAUAAGUAGUGUGAAUUGCAGAAUUCAGUGAAUCAUCGAAUCUUUGAACGCACAUUGCGCCCUUUGGUAUUCCUUAGGGCAUGCUUGUUCGAGCGUCAUCUAAACCUUCAAGCCCUGCUUGGUGUUGGGUGCCUGUCCCGCCUCCGCGCGCGGACUCACCUCAAAUCCAUUGGCGGCCCCCGCGUCGGCCACGAGCGCAGCAGAAACGCGAACUCGUGAGCCCGUCCGGGCGGCUCCCAGAAGCUACACCCACCCAGUUUGACCUCGGAUCAGGUAGGGAUACCCGCUGAACUUAAGC
RNAcentral lists this unclassified non-coding RNA (305 nucleotides) under plant metagenome. Its description in RNAcentral is "partial contains 5.8S ribosomal RNA, internal transcribed spacer 2, and large subunit ribosomal RNA". The stretch from base 1 to 105 matches the Rfam family "5.8S ribosomal RNA", at positions 50 to 154 of the family's 154-position model. The record is from RNAcentral.